Molecule: ribosomal RNA, 1368 nt
Filed under: Chryseobacterium sp. MYb151
Lineage: Bacteria; Pseudomonadati; Bacteroidota; Flavobacteriia; Flavobacteriales; Weeksellaceae
Description: bacterial SSU rRNA
Rfam family: Bacterial small subunit ribosomal RNA
Source: RNAcentral
GGUAUUUGUUCUUCGGACAGAGAGAGCGGCGUACGGGUGCGGAACACGUGUGCAACCUGCCUUUAUCAGGGGGAUAGCCUUUCGAAAGGAAGAUUAAUACCCCAUAAUAUAUUAAGUGGCAUCACUUGAUAUUGAAAACUCCGGUGGAUAGAGAUGGGCACGCGCAAGAUUAGAUAGUUGGUAGGGUAACGGCCUACCAAGUCAGUGAUCUUUAGGGGGCCUGAGAGGGUGAUCCCCCACACUGGUACUGAGACACGGACCAGACUCCUACGGGAGGCAGCAGUGAGGAAUAUUGGACAAUGGGUGAGAGCCUGAUCCAGCCAUCCCGCGUGAAGGACGACGGCCCUAUGGGUUGUAAACUUCUUUUGUAUAGGGAUAAACCUUUCCACGUGUGGAAAGCUGAAGGUACUAUACGAAUAAGCACCGGCUAACUCCGUGCCAGCAGCCGCGGUAAUACGGAGGGUGCAAGCGUUAUCCGGAUUUAUUGGGUUUAAAGGGUCCGUAGGCGGAUCUGUAAGUCAGUGGUGAAAUCUCACAGCUUAACUGUGAAACUGCCAUUGAUACUGCAGGUCUUGAGUAAAGUAGAAGUGGCUGGAAUAAGUAGUGUAGCGGUGAAAUGCAUAGAUAUUACUUAGAACACCAAUUGCGAAGGCAGGUCACUAUGUUUUAACUGACGCUGAUGGACGAAAGCGUGGGGAGCGAACAGGAUUAGAUACCCUGGUAGUCCACGCCGUAAACGAUGCUAACUCGUUUUUGGGGCUUCGGCUUCAGAGACUAAGCGAAAGUGAUAAGUUAGCCACCUGGGGAGUACGUUCGCAAGAAUGAAACUCAAAGGAAUUGACGGGGGCCCGCACAAGCGGUGGAUUAUGUGGUUUAAUUCGAUGAUACGCGAGGAACCUUACCAAGGCUUAAAUGGGAAUUGAUCGGUUUAGAAAUAGACCUUCCUUCGGGCAAUUUUCAAGGUGCUGCAUGGUUGUCGUCAGCUCGUGCCGUGAGGUGUUAGGUUAAGUCCUGCAACGAGCGCAACCCCUGUCACUAGUUGCCAUCAUUAAGUUGGGGACUCUAGUGAGACUGCCUACGCAAGUAGAGAGGAAGGUGGGGAUGACGUCAAAUCAUCACGGCCCUUACGCCUUGGGCCACACACGUAAUACAAUGGCCGGUACAGAGGGCAGCUACACAGCGAUGUGAUGCAAAUCUCGAAAGCCGGUCUCAGUUCGGAUUGGAGUCUGCAACUCGACUCUAUGAAGCUGGAAUCGCUAGUAAUCGCGCAUCAGCCAUGGCGCGGUGAAUACGUUCCCGGGCCUUGUACACACCGCCCGUCAAGCCAUGGAAGUCUGGGGUACCUGAAGUCGGUGACCGUAACAGGAG